Molecule: ribosomal RNA, 350 nt
Filed under: Bacteroidota bacterium
Lineage: Bacteria; Pseudomonadati; Bacteroidota
Description: Bacteroidetes bacterium (sediment metagenome) partial 23S ribosomal RNA
Rfam family: Bacterial large subunit ribosomal RNA
Source: RNAcentral
AAGGUCCCAAGGGUUCGGCUGUUCGCCGAUUAAAGUGGCACGCGAGCUGGGUUCAGAACGUCGUGAGACAGUUCGGUCCCUAUCUGUUGUGGGCGUUGGAAAACUGAGAGGACCUGACUCUAGUACGAGAGGACCGUGUCGGACGUACCUCUAGUGUACCUGUUGUGGCGCCAGCUGCACCGCAGGGUAGCUAUGUACGGAUGAGAUAAGCGCUGAAAGCAUCUAAGCACGAAGCUCACCUCAAGAUGAGUUUUCCUUUAAGGGUCGUCGGAGACUACGACGUUGAUAGGCUGUAGGUGUAAAGGCGGUAACGUCUGAGCCGAACAGUACUAAUCACCCGUAACUUUCUG